This 305-nucleotide unclassified non-coding RNA is filed under the name Hevea brasiliensis (rubber tree). Lineage: Eukaryota; Viridiplantae; Streptophyta; Magnoliopsida; Malpighiales; Euphorbiaceae. The record is from RNAcentral.
GGGUGGGGUGAUGAUGAUCCUUCUGUUUUCAUCAUCAAAACUAGUGGAAGACUUGAAGGAGAAUUUCAAAUAACCAAUGGCUAUGGUCCAAUCAUGGCACCACAAGUCAUGAGAGAACAUUGGAGAACAUAUAUAGUAGAAGAAGACUUCAAGUUCAUAGCAAGUAAUGGACUAAAUGCAGUGAGAAUUCCAAUUGGAUGGUGGAUUGCAAGUGACCCAACACCUCCAAAACCCUAUGUUGGAGGCUCAUUACAUGCCUUAGAUAAUGCCUUUUUAUGGGCCAGGAAAUAUGGACUUAAAGUUAU